RNAcentral lists this unclassified non-coding RNA (373 nucleotides) under Hevea brasiliensis (rubber tree). Lineage: Eukaryota; Viridiplantae; Streptophyta; Magnoliopsida; Malpighiales; Euphorbiaceae. The record is from RNAcentral.
CUUUCUCAGCCAACGCACACGCACGCUCCAACUACCAACUGUCUCAAGAUGACCGUUAUGUCCUCCAACGACCGAAAAUACCGCCGGAGUCCCAGGAUCCCUCUCCUGCCUCAAAAGCACUACGACUACGAGCCUUUCGAGGUUGGCUUCUCCGGCGCUUCCUUCUCCGGCGCCGUUUUCAACCUAUCCACCACCAUCGUUGGUGCCGGCAUCAUGGCCCUUCCGUCCACUGUGAAGCAAUUGGGGCUAAUUCCAGGUAUUAUAAUGAUUGCAUUGGGAGCCAUGUUAACAGAGUCCUCCAUCGACAUGAUCCUAAGAUUCGGUAAAGCUUCCAAGUCCGCCACGUACUCCGGCGUCGUCGCCGACACGUUUG